This is a transfer RNA of 115 nucleotides. It matches the Rfam family "tRNA". From Rfam's summary of the family: Transfer RNA (tRNA) molecules are approximately 80 nucleotides in length. Their secondary structure includes four short double-helical elements and three loops (D, anti-codon, and T loops). Further hydrogen bonds mediate the characteristic L-shaped molecular structure. tRNAs have two regions of fundamental functional importance: the anti-codon, which is responsible for specific mRNA codon recognition, and the 3' end, to which the tRNAs corresponding amino acid is attached (by aminoacyl-tRNA synthetases). tRNAs cope with the degeneracy of the genetic code in two manners: having more than one tRNA (with a specific anti-codon) for a particular amino acid; and 'wobble' base-pairing, i.e. permitting non-standard base-pairing at the 3rd anti-codon position. The record is from Rfam.
GGUCGCUUAGCUCAGUUGGUUAGAGCGUGGUGCUAAUAAAUCGAGAUCGGGAGCUUUGCUCCCGCGAACGACAUAGUAGACGCCAAGGUCGCGAGUUCGACCCUCGUAGUGACCA